This is a long non-coding RNA of Phacochoerus africanus (Common warthog), 2039 nucleotides long. RefSeq lists it as uncharacterized. The transcript is spliced from 3 exons. Lineage: Eukaryota; Metazoa; Chordata; Mammalia; Artiodactyla; Suidae. The record is from RefSeq and is a predicted model, not a curated record.
CCCCCAAAAGAAAGGAAUGUCACAGCAGUUAAGCUUCAAAACAUUCCAUCUUAGUUAGAUGGGGGAGACUUAAUUCCCACCAUCUUUUAGAGAUGCUAAAGAUGACAUCUUUAGAUUUAAUUAUCACAAUCUGUUGAGCAGCUUGGGCUUCUAGCCUAUUUGGGCUCCUGCCUGGACACAGGAAGAGGGGAUCUCGCUACUCCAAGGAUGGCCUGGGGUGAGGAAGGGAGGAUCCCUUCCUUCCUUUCUCGGCCUCACUUGCGGCACAUGGAAGUUCGUAGGGCAGGGAUUGCAUCUGAGCAGGAGCUGUGACCUACGCCUUAGCUGCAGCAAUGCAGGAUCCUAAACCCCGUGCAUCACCCAGCCCCUCCACAAAGACAAGCUGGGUCAUUAGCCCACUGCGCCAGAGCAGGAACUCUAGGAGGACCUUUUUCUUGAAGCAUAAUGGCAAUGAACAAUCUUUGAGCUGCUCCUUGACGAGACAGAGUUUCAAGAUUAAAAUCAGAGAGCCCAGGUGCUCCCCCAGGGAACCCUGAAACUCUGUGCUUUACAACUCGGGGGUAAAAGUCCCUGCUGAUAGCAAAGAAUGGCUGCAGUCAGGCUAAGGAUUCGUUUAUGAUGAUUAAAUAUCACUGAAAUGUCUGCUCUAAAGACAGUUUAGGGGAAAAAUGAGCUGCUAUGGGACUUCUUUCUGUGCGGGCAAUUCAAGAAAAUUCUUUGGUAGUAACCAACAUUUACAGCAGGGCCACAGUCAAUGUCCAUCUGUACUAAACAUAAGUUUGCACAUAGAAGCAAAGUAAGGGAGUAUCUGCAUUCUUCAGGAAAUCCGCCAGGCUUCUGUGAGCUCAUGUGAAUCCUGCCACGGCUGAGAGAUACGAGAAAGCUUCAAAAGGGGAAGCCGAACAGGCUGUGUAGAGGGGAAUCAAACCCCCAGAUCCAAUCAUCUUCCACCAAAAGACUGAUGAGUAACGCGGCAGGAUCAGUUUCACCGGGACAAACAGCUUAUUUUAAUUCAUUCUCUCCAGUAAUAUUCAAAAAGGAUGAAUCAUGCCGUUAUUGUAACGAGAGUGAAAGCCUUGGGAAGAAGGAGCAAGAGCUCAAAUCCUGGCGAUUUCUUGACAUCUUCCGUUCAUAUGAAGUCCCAUGCCGUUUCCCGGAGGAUGAGGGAGGAGGAUGGGAAGGCUGGUUCUUUUUCUUCACGAUGGGAGGCUACGACAGCAGCCCGCAGGUACGGCUGCAGGACUGAGGGGCAGACGUGAGCAAGACCAAAGCCCCCCACCCCGCCCCUCUGCUGUGGGCUGCCUACACUGUGUGGACCAUACGACAUCGAGGGCUCUGAUUUCUGCUGCCCUCCCUCUCCUGUGACCCACAGGACCCUCUGAGCUAGAAGAUCUGUUUCAUCUCUACGGAUCUUUCCAGCGGUAAUAAGAGCCCACUUCACCUGCUGUGCCACAGUGUUAUGGGUGAAACUGUGUCCCCAUGAGGUCAAAGGCAUUUGGGGUAGGAUGUUAUCCCAACUUUACGGCUGCUGUUUCGGGGGCUGUGACACUAUCUCCUCCAGGGCGGAAUUCAGUAUGAGGCACAACAGAUCUGGAUCCUUGAGGUGAGAAAACCCAGGAAGAACCCGGAGGCAAUGCACUUGGGCUCAACCAACCAAAGCUGCCAUGGAAGCUCCUACUGUGGAUAAUACAGUAGUCUGCUAGUUUGCGUGCUAUUUUUACAGACAUGAAAAUUCAGCUUUUCACAUUUCACUUUCACCUGGUGCAAGAUCAAGACCGACAAAGGCCAUGUGAUUCGUGUGCUUCCUGCAGUUAAGCACCGGCUGCAGUGAUGAGAGCAAGCGCCUCUGGGUCAAUCUGAUGCUGUCACAAAACUGGGAGCUUUUCAAAGUAGCCAAUAAAUUAAAUGCUGGGAAGGAUGAAAUGUCUUUCCUCAAUUUUCAACUCAUUCCUAUGAAAUGGGGGAACAGUGAGUUCCAUCAGAAGACUUCUGUGUGGAAUUCCUGUUGUGGCUCAGCGGAAACGUAUCCGGCCAGGAAC